CAGACUGUGCUCAUGGUGGACCAGUGUUGACGAUCUAGGCAAGUGUUUUUAUGUAUACCUCUCACAGUUUUAAAUGCUGUAUUGAUAAUCAAAUUCUACAGGAGAUAUAUGUUUCCUCCAAAUACUUGAUGAUUCUGUUUUAAAUGUUUGACAAUCUCCUUAUAUUAAAAGGCUCUUCUCAUGCCGCAAAUUGGUGGACAAAAACAUAUAUUUUGAUUUGAGUUAUUUACAAAGAAUGACCAAUUUGCAAUUUGGAUGUUUAUAAAAAUCUUUGUAUAUAACAUUAAUAUUCAGUAUGUUAAUAUAUUUAGUUUACGCUAUACACUCAGGUUCAAAGUCGAGAUCGGUAUUACAUUUUAUCAUUCGGGAUCGAGAUUAAAAAUAUCAAAUAUAUCGUAAACAUGGUUUGAAUUUGAUACAGAAUUGAGAUUGAGAACAGUGAACAGUUUCAAAGAAUACAGAACAGUGAACACUUAAUGACUUACUUUUUGCAGAAAAAUGUCGCAGCCUUAUAAUGUAAGAGAAUCAUAUUCUGGACAUGAUGUCCAAGAUCGGUUAAAGAAGAUUGGGAUAAUUUCCAUAAGUGAAGAGGAUGUCAGUGGUUGGAUUUUCAGAGGAGUGGAUUUAACUCAAAUUCAACUUGAAGGGAAAACAGAACCGCCAGCUCAUUGUUAAGCUGAGUGAAUUCAAGGGAGUAACUUCAAAGAGUGACAAACCACCAAGAAUAGCUUUUCACUGGGGACCAAGGAAUAUGCAAUGCAUAUAUCUACUUCUUGCAGGAGACAUAAAAAUGGAAGUCCCCAACAGAUUUUAUUAAGAGGCAUUGUCAUUGCUCAUUUUUUGUUACUGUGUUUGAGACUUGCCUGCCCAAAACAAUUUCAACUUCUUGGAUUCCUCCAACUAUAAUAUUGAAGACAAGAAAAAUAAGUUUGUCAUGAGUCAAAAUUAUUUUGAAAUUUGUGAACAUCUUUGAGGAUUGUUUUCCGGGAAUUAAGUUAAGGACAUGCAUGACAUUUCCUUUAGAAUAAUUUUUUUUAUCUCAAUGCAAGUGAAUUACAUGUGAUGUUUGUUUAUACAAGUUUCAUUAAAUCUGGUUUUUGCUCAGUUUCAAGGAAAUCUUUAAAUGUAUAUAAGGAAAUUUGAUUGAUAGAAUAAUAUACUAGUAUAAAUUUCAUAAGUUUAUAUUUUAUCAGAUGCCAUUAUUUUAAUUCAGCAGAGAAUAUACAAGUAUUUUGAAUGUCUUGAACCUUUUUAUAGUACAUUUAAGUCCAUAGUACUGCACAAAGAUGAAAACAAGUACAAAUUAACAUACCUAACACAAUACCUUUUGUGAAGUCGAGCACAUGUUUUGGGAUGUGAAGCUGGACACAUGAAACUUAUGGUAUUGCACAUACAUUACUAUUCAAUGCUCUUUUUUUGCAUUAAGUCCAGCACAUAUGUUUAUGAUUUUUUACACACAUGAACACAUUACAUUUAGAUGUACUUUUAUUUCUGUGAGACGUUGAGCACAUUUGUUCAUGAUUUUUGACAUAUGGAACACACCCCUUUUUGAUGUAGAGUAUAUUCUGUUUGAAGUCAUGGCUUUUCAUAUAAAUGCACACCGAUUUGCUCUUUGUAUUACCUUAAUUUCUGUGUGAAGUUGUCAGAGCACACAUGUUCAUGCUUUUUCACAUACAUCGACACAAUAUACCUUAAUUUCUAUGUGAUAUAAGUUGAACACACAUGUUCAUGUACUAUGGCUUUUAUAGUAAAUAUCGCUGAUAUGCUUUAAAAUGUUUGAUAUAUGAUUAUGUGUAUUGAUCAAUAAAAUUUAUAAGCUUC
Long non-coding RNA from Ostrea edulis (European flat oyster), 1821 nucleotides. RefSeq lists it as uncharacterized. The record is from RefSeq and is a predicted model, not a curated record. The transcript has 3 exons. NCBI's taxonomy places the organism in Eukaryota, Metazoa, Mollusca, Bivalvia, Ostreida, Ostreidae.